UUCAUUGGUAUUGUAAAGCGACAU
Molecule: microRNA, 24 nt
Filed under: Medicago truncatula (barrel medic)
Lineage: Eukaryota; Viridiplantae; Streptophyta; Magnoliopsida; Fabales; Fabaceae
Description: mtr-miR5299
Source: miRBase by way of RNAcentral